Molecule: ribosomal RNA, 247 nt
Filed under: uncultured bacterium
Lineage: Bacteria
Description: partial small subunit ribosomal RNA
Rfam family: Bacterial small subunit ribosomal RNA
Source: RNAcentral
AGAGCGAACGCUGGCGGCAUGCCUAACACAUGCAAGUCGAACGAGGCGCUUGCGCCUAGUGGCGAACGGGUGAGUAACACGUGAGCAACCUGCCCUUGGCUCUGGGAUAGCCUCCGGAAACGGGGAUUAAUACCGGACAUGACCUUCUCCUGCAUGGGGGAGGGUGGAAAGUUUUUCGGCCAGGGAGGGGCUCGCGGCCUAGUCAGCUUGUUGGGGGGGUAACGGCCCACCAAGGCGACGACGGGUA